UGCAGCCUCAGCUCUGGAAAGAGUCAGCACUUGUCAACACGACUUAUUUCUACACCCUCUGAAAGUCAAGCUAGCUUAGGAUGCGUCCUUUAAGCCUCAGGGGACUCCAUUACUGUCUUCCAGGCUGUGAGCCUUAAACAAAAAAAGAAGGAUGGCCCCCUCCGGGGUGCUGGAUGUCAAGGACCUGGUGCACGAUACAGACAGCCAGGGGACAGCUGCAGAGAUCAUUGCAUCAUUGAGGGCCAUGUCUGCUGUGGAUUUAGCAUAUGAAAUCUUAGGAAGGGAGGAUGCUUGAUUCAAAUUCUCUGCUCAAGCAAGUUCAGGAUGUGGGGUGUGGGGGCAUACCCAUAGGAGGAUUCUAUACUGCAGGGAAGACCCAUAGCCAUCCUGUGGGUCAGCAGUCCCACAGAGACUGUCCUCCAUACCCGAAGAAGCAACACUCAACAGUCAAUUUCAAGCACAAAUGAGGAUAAAUAUGUGGGUUCCUUUAA
This 491-nucleotide long non-coding RNA is filed under the name Mus pahari (shrew mouse). RNAcentral describes it as "lncRNA (MGP_PahariEiJ_G0002163.1)". The record is from RNAcentral. Lineage: Eukaryota; Metazoa; Chordata; Mammalia; Rodentia; Muridae.